UUGCUCCACAAACUGGCUAUGUGCGCAGAGUACAGAGUGGUAGGCAAAAUGUUUGGAGUCAGCAAAACCACCGUGCACCAGUGUGUUUACGCCAUGUGCAAUGCCAUAUGAACGAGGAUGAUGCAGAGGUAUAUCUACCUGCCAGGAGUGGGUGAGGUGCAUGACAUCUCGCUACUUAACUCCAGAGCGCACCUUGUGCCACAGGUGUAUGGCGCAAUAGACGGGACUCACAUCCCGAUUUGACCCCCUGCUGACGGCUACAAGGAUUUUGUCAAUAGAAAGGGCUGGCCAUCAAUCGUACUACAGGCUGUGGUAGACGAUUCUUAGCAUCAUAAGGGGCAUUUGUGCUGGCAUGACCUUUAGUGUGU
Long non-coding RNA from Etheostoma spectabile (orangethroat darter), 368 nucleotides. RefSeq lists it as uncharacterized. NCBI's taxonomy places the organism in Eukaryota, Metazoa, Chordata, Actinopteri, Perciformes, Percidae. The transcript has 3 exons. The record is from RefSeq and is a predicted model, not a curated record.